ACACAAUUCCAUUGAACUUUAAUUUGUGUCAUAAUGAUCAGGAAUUGAUGGUGUUAAACUGAAGGAUGGUCGAGUCGUGCUAGCUUACAACACAAUCUCGAGGGGUGUUCUGAAAGUUGCAGUUUCUGAAGAUGAUGGGGACUCGUGGCAUGAUGUUGCAACAUUAGAGGAUACAUCAGGGAUGGAGUUCUCUUAUCCAGCUGUGAUCCAAGCUAGUGAUGGAUUAGUUCAUAUCACCUAUACAUACAAUAGAACUCAGAUCAAGCAUGUAGUCUUUCAGCCUAAUUAAUGAAGUAAAGAUGGCGCUCCGCUGUUGGAUGAA
Molecule: long non-coding RNA, 322 nt
Organism: Ipomoea triloba (trilobed morning glory)
Lineage: Eukaryota; Viridiplantae; Streptophyta; Magnoliopsida; Solanales; Convolvulaceae
Exons: 2
Source: RefSeq, a predicted model, not a curated record